Molecule: long non-coding RNA, 800 nt
Filed under: Salvia miltiorrhiza (redroot sage)
Lineage: Eukaryota; Viridiplantae; Streptophyta; Magnoliopsida; Lamiales; Lamiaceae
Description: long non-coding RNA (SMIL_LNC004012)
Source: RNAcentral
AUUCCCAAUUUCUUUCGUUCAUUCUCCUUCCAUCUCGCAAGGUUCAGCAAUCCAAUAGGUGGAAGCCUUGUUCAUGACAGAUCAGCAAUGAGGCUGAGUUAAUCGGCGUUCGUGCCCAGCCAUAGAGCACGAAAACUUUGAUGUACCCAAUGCUAAGCUGAUGGAAGCAUCAAUUUGAUCAAAGCAGACUGACUGAAGGACAACAUGUUGACCCGUGCUCAAACUCACUCAUGCCACGUCAGCCCUUUGGUAAACAAAUUCGAUGAAAAUUGACGAGCCCAAGUUUUGUACUCUUUUUCUUUGUUGUGUCAUGGUCUAGAUCGAGUCCUUUGUAUGUGUUUUAUUUGUUUUAUGUCUUGAAGGACACUUGUAUGGACAGGGACUCGUAGAAGCUAUAAUGGGCAGGAUGGAGCAAUUCUAAUGAGAUCUGGGAAGGCGCCUCAACGAUCAAGUCUAACCAAGCUUGCAGGUUGGAUGCAAUUCAAAGAUCGAGAGUCACAUAUGCUGACCUGCUGGGCACGAUGUUGAUCAAGAAGGUAGUACCACUCAGAAAAAGAGUUCUAUUGGUCCUAGGCAUUUUGGAGCUAAUUUUUGGGAGAACGAGUUGAUGCAAAGGCUAUUGCCGUCGACCAAGAUGUCGGCCUGACUACCGCUCAUAAUUAAACAUCCACCACAAGAGGUACUGAGGGCACGAGAAGGACAGAAUGAAGGAAAUGAACGUGAACAGUGAAGGAACCAUCAUGACCAAACAUCUAGGGUAGGACACUGACGUGGCAAAUUCGGUGCAAGAGGAUAAGGCG